Athene cunicularia (burrowing owl) is the source of this 1275-nucleotide long non-coding RNA. RefSeq lists it as uncharacterized. The record is from RefSeq and is a predicted model, not a curated record. The transcript has 2 exons. NCBI's taxonomy places the organism in Eukaryota, Metazoa, Chordata, Aves, Strigiformes, Strigidae.
CCCCUAAGCCUCCUUUUCUGCAGACUAAACAACCCCAGUUCCCUCAGCUGCUCCUCCUAAGACUUGCUCUCUAGAUAGACCCUUCACCAGCCUUGCUGCCCCCCUCUGGACGUGGAAUGACUCGGACUGAUCUUUUGCAGUGUUCCUACAUGAGAGUUCAGCACCAACAGUGAUGUAGGAAAUAGCUCGUCUGCUGCAGCUUCUCCCUAUGCACUGAAGUGGGCUCUGGAGGCUGGAUUUCUCUUCAGCCAGUAGAAGGCUUAUGCUGUUUCUCAGCAUGCCUCUCCCUCAAAAUUGUGCACACAAAACCAGAACCUUGGAAAUUCUCAGAGAUUGUUUCCUUUAGUAAGGAAGGAGAGGGCAGCUCAGGAUUCAAGCACUAGCCAAACUAACCUUACAGUGCAAGGAUUUCUUAUUGAAAUAAAAGCUUUUAAAAAUAUGCACAAUGAGGGUUCCAAGGAGAAAAUAAUUUCACAAUAGCACAUGGAUUAGAGAAAAAUCUUUAUAUGUGAAGUCACAAAAUGUUUCUUAGGCAUGGGAGGAGAGGUUAGGAUUGCUGUCUCUACCACAGUGUGCCCCAUGACCUAGUGAGCUCCUCAGCCCUCAGUCAGACUGAGCCCCAUCACUGCUGUUCACUUGGCACCUGACACAGGAGUUGCUUCCUGGUUAUUUAGAAAUGACAGAGAUGAAAAUCAAGUGGCCUGGCACCAGUCUGCACCUGAGAACUACUCCCAGAGACUGUAUUCUGGUUCCACACUGAAGGCCCUAUCUGGUUAUUUUAGGAGCAGGCUUGAUAAGGAAGAUGAUAGCAGAUGGCAUAUGAGAACAGACUGCAUCAGGCACUGCACACCGCAGCACAACACUCUACUACAGAUCUCCUUUCCCAGUGUGGUGUAAAAGAGAAGAAAAUAAACAGUUCUGAAGGAGAGUUCUGAAGCAAAAGAAAUAUCCUACAUGUGCUGUGAUUGCUACAAACCAUGACAGUUGGGGGUGAUACCUGAUGUGAGCGGCCAGAAAGGUGAGCUGGUUAGAAGGGGAAAAUUACUGAACAGAAGAAACUGCCUGCUGAAGAAUACUGACAAGGAAAAUGUCUGCCAGCCUGGGAACUGUGAGGCUGGGAUCAAGAAACAUCCUUGAAAAGUGCAGCUGGUCUCUUUGAAGUACAGCUGUGGUACCUAGAAAUCAGAGGCAUCCUGAGAUACCACCAAUAAGUGCAAAAUCAAGUGACUGUAAAGACAGUUUAUUGUCUGAAAAGGUAGAAAACAGUCUGGAAAA